Molecule: ribosomal RNA, 192 nt
Filed under: uncultured Gammaproteobacteria bacterium
Lineage: Bacteria; Pseudomonadati; Pseudomonadota; Gammaproteobacteria
Description: partial 16S ribosomal RNA
Rfam family: Bacterial small subunit ribosomal RNA
Source: RNAcentral
UACGGGAGGCAGCAGUGGGGAAUAUUGGACAAUGGGCGCAAGCCUGAUCCAGCCAUGCCGCGUGUGUGAAGAAGGCUUUCGGGUUGUAAAGCACUUUCAGUGGGGAGGAAGGCCUCGUAGCUAAUACCUGCGAGGAUUGACGUUACCCACAGAAGAAGCACCGGUUAACUCCGUGCCAGCGACCGCGGUAAU